CAAUAGCAUGACGCCAUUUUACAGUUGCGCUGCAUCACGCGCGAGUACGUUGCGGUUGAGUGGUUCUGAAAUCGCUGCGUUAGGGGCGACUGCAACCAGGCGUUGCGGCAAGUUAUGGUGGGAGCUUCUGUCCGUGCUGUGGGAUUGCGACGAGGGGGACCGCCGCCAGCAGCAGCGUGUCGCCGAUUUCGUCUUUGCCGACAUCGAGCAAGUGCAGCUCGCCGGACCGUCACAAGCGCCCGAAGUGCUGCGGUUUGCACUGCAUCUUUCAUUGUGAUAUGGGAGAUCGCAAAGGACAGAGACGACCAGAUGCAUACGAACGACUACCAGCGGGGAGUGACCUGUGCCAUAUUUCUCUUAACGUCUCAGGUAUUCAAGAAAUGGCAACAGCCAGAAGUCGCCAUCUUAUCCAGCACGUUAUGGGUACACUCUGGCGGCUCCUACCCCUGCGUCCUACCACCACCCUGUCCCGACUACGUCCACUAGGGAGUUAAAAGCCUUUGGCGGCUUCUGCCACUGCAUCCUGCCACCACCAUGUCCCGACCACGUCCACUAGGGAGUUGGCAGCCUUAGUGAUGAUGCCAAGCAGGCUGACAGCAGACAGAAAUAUUCAGGUUGCCUUGAAAUUUUACCCAAGCCAUGCCACAUACUCGGGCCAGGCCUCUUGCGAACCACGUAUAACCAGGCUCAACGCAUCACUGUUGAGUGAGUCCGGAGAUCAAGGAAACCUGCUGUGCAACCAUCGCGCAACACUUGGUGACCCCUCUACGUGUUCCAUCUAUCCAAACAGCAUCACCAGCUGUUUCUUAUCUUAUCGAUCACUUAUCGAACCAUGGAUGAAUGUUGGGGUGGAGUGAUUUGAACAGACAUUCUAUUUGUCUCUUCAAAUUCUUUGCAAAUAUUUCUAUUAUUAUAAUUCAUAUGUUUCUUUAGUACCUAGUUUUUAAUAGUUCCUUUCUCCAAGAGU
This 967-nucleotide long non-coding RNA is filed under the name Dermacentor andersoni. RNAcentral describes it as "uncharacterized LOC126530129". Lineage: Eukaryota; Metazoa; Arthropoda; Arachnida; Ixodida; Ixodidae. The record is from RNAcentral.